Molecule: ribosomal RNA, 3029 nt
Filed under: Salmonella enterica subsp. enterica
Lineage: Bacteria; Pseudomonadati; Pseudomonadota; Gammaproteobacteria; Enterobacterales; Enterobacteriaceae
Description: 23S ribosomal RNA
Rfam family: Bacterial large subunit ribosomal RNA
Source: RNAcentral
GGGUUGUGAGGUUAAGCGACUAAGCGUACACGGUGGAUGCCCUGGCAGUCAGAGGCGAUGAAGGGCGUGCUAAUCUGCGAUAAGCGCCGGUAAGGUGAUAUGAACCGUUAUAACCGGCGAUACCCGAAUGGGGAAACCCAGUGUGAUUCGUCACACUAUCAUUAACUGAAUCCAUAGGUUAAUGAGGCGAACCGGGGGAACUGAAACAUCUAAGUACCCCGAGGAAAAGAAAUCAACCGAGAUUCCCCCAGUAGCGGCGAGCGAACGGGGAGGAGCCCAGAGCCUGAAUCAGCAUGUGUGUUAGUGGAAGCGUCUGGAAAGGCGCGCGAUACAGGGUGACAGCCCCGUACACAAAAGCGCAUGUGCUGUGAGCUCGAUGAGUAGGGCGGGACACGUGGUAUCCUGUCUGAAUAUGGGGGGACCAUCCUCCAAGGCUAAAUACUCCUGACUGACCGAUAGUGAACCAGUACCGUGAGGGAAAGGCGAAAAGAACCCCGGCGAGGGGAGUGAAAAAGAACCUGAAACCGUGUACGUACAAGCAGUGGGAGCCCCACCACCAAAGCAUUCUCUGGUGUUGAAGGCCCUGCAAAGCAGCAUCGCGGUGGCGGAGCGUCGUUUGCGACGCCCAACACACAAAACAAGCGGUGAGUGCUUUGGGGUGGGGUGACUGCGUACCUUUUGUAUAAUGGGUCAGCGACUUAUAUUCUGUAGCAAGGUUAACCGAAUAGGGGAGCCGGAGGGAAACCGAGUCUUAAUUGGGCGUUAAGUUGCAGGGUAUAGACCCGAAACCCGGUGAUCUAGCCAUGGGCAGGUUGAAGGUUGGGUAACACUAACUGGAGGACCGAACCGACUAAUGUUGAAAAAUUAGCGGAUGACCUGUGGCUGGGGGUGAAAGGCCAAUCAAACCGGGAGAUAGCUGGUUCUCCCCGAAAGCUAUUUAGGUAGCGCCUCGUGAAUUCAUCUCCGGGGGUAGAGCACUGUUUCGGCUAGGGGGCCAUCCCGGCUUACCAACCCGAUGCAAACUGCGAAUACCGGAGAAUGUUAUCACGGGAGACACACGGCGGGUGCUAACGUCCGUCGUGAAGAGGGAAACAACCCAGACCGCAAGCUAAGGUCCCAAAGUCAUGGUUAAGUGGGAAGCGAUGUGGGAAGGCCCAGACAGCCAGGAUGUUGGCUUAGAAGCAGCCAUCAUUUAAAGAAAGCGUAAUAGCUCACUGGUCGAGUCGGCCUGCGCGGAAGAUGUAACGGGGCUAAACCAUGCACCGAAGCUGCGGCAGCGACGCUGAUGCGUUGUUGGGUAGGGGAGCGUUCUGUAAGCCUGCGAAGGUGGCCUGUGAGGGUUGCUGGAGGUAUCAGAAGUGCGAAUGCUGACAUAAGUAACGAUAAAGCGGGUGAAAAGCCCGCUCGCCGGAAGACCAAGGGUUCCUGUCCAACGUUAAUCGGGGCAGGGUGAGUCGACCCCUAAGGCGAGGCCGAAAGGCGUAGUCGAUGGGAAACGGGUUAAUAUUCCCGUACUUGGUGUUACUGCGAAGGGGGGACGGAGAAGGCUAUGUUGGCCGGGCGACGGUUGUCCCGGUUUAAGCGUGUAGGUGUGUGUUCCAGGUAAAUCCGGUUCACUUUAACACUGAGGCGUGAUGACGAGGCACUACGGUGCUGAAGCAACAAAUGCCCUGCUUCCAGGAAAAGCCUCUAAGCAUCAGGUAACAUCAAAUCGUACCCCAAACCGACACAGGUGGUCAGGUAGAGAAUACCAAGGCGCUUGAGAGAACUCGGGUGAAGGAACUAGGCAAAAUGGUGCCGUAACUUCGGGAGAAGGCACGCUGACACGUAGGUGAAGUGAUUUACUCAUGGAGCUGAAGUCAGUCGAAGAUACCAGCUGGCUGCAACUGUUUAUUAAAAACACAGCACUGUGCAAACACGAAAGUGGACGUAUACGGUGUGACGCCUGCCCGGUGCCGGAAGGUUAAUUGAUGGGGUCAGCGCAAGCGAAGCUCCUGAUCGAAGCCCCGGUAAACGGCGGCCGUAACUAUAACGGUCCUAAGGUAGCGAAAUUCCUUGUCGGGUAAGUUCCGACCUGCACGAAUGGCGUAAUGAUGGCCAGGCUGUCUCCACCCGAGACUCAGUGAAAUUGAACUCGCUGUGAAGAUGCAGUGUACCCGCGGCAAGACGGAAAGACCCCGUGAACCUUUACUAUAGCUUGACACUGAACAUUGAGCCUUGAUGUGUAGGAUAGGUGGGAGGCUUUGAAGUGUGGACGCCAGUCUGCAUGGAGCCGACCUUGAAAUACCACCCUUUAAUGUUUGAUGUUCUAACGUGGACCCGUUACCCGGGUUGCGGACAGUGUCUGGUGGGUAGUUUGACUGGGGCGGUCUCCUCCUAAAGAGUAACGGAGGAGCACGAAGGUUGGCUAAUCCUGGUCGGACAUCAGGAGGUUAGUGCAAUGGCAUAAGCCAGCUUGACUGCGAGCGUGACGGCGCGAGCAGGUGCGAAAGCAGGUCAUAGUGAUCCGGUGGUUCUGAAUGGAAGGGCCAUCGCUCAACGGAUAAAAGGUACUCCGGGGAUAACAGGCUGAUACCGCCCAAGAGUUCAUAUCGACGGCGGUGUUUGGCACCUCGAUGUCGGCUCAUCACAUCCUGGGGCUGAAGUAGGUCCCAAGGGUAUGGCUGUUCGCCAUUUAAAGUGGUACGCGAGCUGGGUUUAGAACGUCGUGAGACAGUUCGGUCCCUAUCUGCCGUGGGCGCUGGAGAACUGAGGGGGGCUGCUCCUAGUACGAGAGGACCGGAGUUGACGCAUCACUGGUGUUCGGGUUGUCAUGCCAAUGGCACUGCCCGGUAGCUAAAUGCGGAAGAGAUAAGUGCUGAAAGCAUCUAAGCACGAAACUUGCCCCGAGAUGAGUUCUCCCUGAGACUUUAAGUCUCCUGAAGGAACGUUGAAGACGACGACGUUGAUAGGCCGGGUGUGUAAGCGCAGCGAUGCGUUGAGCUAACCGGUACUAAUGAACCGUGAGGCUUAACCUUACAACGCCGAAG